UAAUACAGAGGUCUCGAGCGUUAAUCGGAAUUACUGGGCUUAAAGGGUGCGUAGGCGGUCUCGUAAGUGCCUUGUGAAAUCCCAUGGCUCAACCAUGGAAUUGCUCGGUAGACUGCGAGACUUGAGGUCGGUAGAGGUCGCUGGAACUCUAGGUGGAGCGGUGAAAUGCGUAGAUAUCUAGAGGAACGCCAAAGGUGUAGACAGGCGACUGGGCCGAUUCUGACGCUGAGGCACGAAAGCGUGGGUAGCGAACGGGAUUAGAUACCCCGGUAGUCCACGCCCUAAACGAUGUGCACUAGAUCGUGGAGGCUCUGACGCCACCAUGGUCGAAGUUAAAAUGCUAAGUGCACCGCCUGGGGAGUACGGUCGCAAGGCUA
Molecule: ribosomal RNA, 377 nt
Filed under: uncultured bacterium
Lineage: Bacteria
Description: bacterial SSU rRNA
Rfam family: Bacterial small subunit ribosomal RNA
Source: RNAcentral